This 497-nucleotide ribosomal RNA is filed under the name uncultured bacterium. Its description in RNAcentral is "partial 16S ribosomal RNA". It matches the Rfam family "Bacterial small subunit ribosomal RNA", at positions 28 to 507 of the family's 1533-position model. The record is from RNAcentral.
GAUGAACGCUGGCGGCGUGCCUAAUACAUGCAAGUCGAGCGAACAGACGAGGAGCUUGCUCCUCUGACGUUAGCGGCGGACGGGUGAGUAACACGUGGAUAACCUACCUAUAAGACUGGGAUAACUUCGGGAAACCGGAGCUAAUACCGGAUAAUAUAUUGAACCGCAUGGUUCAAUAGUGAAAGACGGUUUUGCUGUCACUUAUAGAUGGAUCCGCGCCGCAUUAGCUAGUUGGUAAGGUAACGGCUUACCAAGGCAACGAUGCGUAGCCGACCUGAGAGGGUGAUCGGCCACACGGGAACUGAGACACGGUCCAGACUCCUACGGGAGGCAGCAGUAGGGAAUCUUCCGCAAUGGGCGAAAGCUUGACGGAGCAACGCCGCGUGAGUGAUGAAGGUCUUCGGAUCGUAAAACUCUGUUAUUAGGUAAGAACAAAUGUGUACGUAACUAUGCACGUCUUGACGGUACCUAAUCAGAAAGCCACGGCUAACUACGUG